UGUGAUGAGUUGAGGGCUUUCCCAC
This 25-nucleotide non-coding RNA is filed under the name Mus musculus (house mouse). The record is from RNAcentral. Lineage: Eukaryota; Metazoa; Chordata; Mammalia; Rodentia; Muridae.